CAAACGAUGGUUUUAUUAGCGCAUAUCGACAGAUACGCUUCACAAGUACAAUUAAUGCCAUAUAAAUCAUUCAUAUCCCUGCCCUGUCAUUUACGAGAAUACAGCAUAAACUCCAUAUCCUUAUCUGAAGCCGAUAACGCAGAGCAGAUAGAGCUCCGAGGCGCGACUGCAAAGAGCCCUGAGCGCUGCCGGCUCUCCCAAGCACGUGUUUGUACAGGGCUUUCACCGCCCAGCCACACGUCACCUGCUGCAGCGGCUGGGCAGGCUCUGCAGCCCGCUGGAGAGCAGGAAUCAAGCCCUGCAUCGCUCUGUGGCUUGCUGGCAAGGUUCCGACACUGCCACGAGAUUUGAUGUUUCUCCUGCAGGGAGCCCACACAGCUCCGCCGCUGAGCCUGGGGUGUCGGCAGCGGGGCACCCACGUACACCUCCAAGCAGAGGCGCUCCAUCUCCACCAGCCACCGCCGCAGCCCGCAGCGAGACAGGGCUGCAGGCAAAAGUUACAGCAAAGCGAUUUGAAAUGCCCCAGCUGUGCCGGAUGCAGAGGGACAGGCUGCGGCGCCACACUCGCCUGGGGCCAUGUGGGAACAGUGUCCCACGCCCAGCACCCAGCGCCCAGCCCCAGGAGGGCAGGCUGGGCUUCCCUCGCCCUCUCAGCAUCGUGCAUUGCCGAUGUUUGCCCUGUCCGGGGAAGGCUGUGCAUUCCUCAGUGCAGCUGCCCUUCUGUUCCUCCUCUGCCUCCCCGCCCUUCAGCUCUCGCCGCGAUGGGCAGUUCUGCCAGCCCCGAGGUACGAGGUCAGCUGGCAGAACGAUGGGGUCUGUGUGUGCCUGACAUCGGCCCCGGGGGAGAUGAGGAGGGAAGGGAAACUGGUUUUUGGGAAGGAGGAGGAGUACUCCAACAGUGCAGCUGGAGCAAGAGGCAGGCUAAGUGAUCCUGUUUGCUGGAGCAAGGAGCAGAACAGAAAGUGAGCCAUGGCACCAUCCUCCAGCACUUGGGUCCCUCAGAUCACACAUGGUUGCAUGUUGACCAGUAGUGUCACAUGCCUGACAUGAGGAUCUCCCACAUGGAGGUAAAAAGGCAUCUCAGCAGCCCCAAAUCAGCUUUCUGAAAGUCUGGUAACACCUGCUUCUUCAGUGAACCAGCUGAAGGUAGUGAUAUCAAGCUGAGCCAAUACAUUGAAAUUACUGCAGCAGGAGAAACUACCACCCAGUUAUUACCCAGAUUAUUAUUUUUACCCUUUUUCUUUCUUUUUUUCCCCAAAAACAUUAGUGCCAAUUUUAUCCAGAAUAUGUUAUGGAAAGAGAAGAGGGGAGUAGAAGAGGGAGAAGAUUGGUUUCCAGCUGACAUGCAGAAGCAUAUGCAUGAUUGUCUUUUGGAAUAUUUUGACUCAAAAUGGACUCUUGUAAACAUGUGGCUAAGGGACACAAAUGCAUCUCCAGAUAAGACAUGGAUAUGCCUCUAAGAAGAUAUUGGUCUAUGACCUAUAUUAAAAUUUAAAUUGUUAGUGUUUACAACAGCACUGAAAACUCUUGAGGAAGUCACAAAUGCUGGCAUACAGUUGCUUCCACCAUUGGCUCCAAAGACCAAAUCUGUAACUCCGCUCAUACUCAGCCCUCUAAUUUGUUUCAAAACAUUGUCUAUCAGUGGAUACACAUGCAACCAGCAAAGCAUGACUGGCAUGGCUGGCAGUUGGCCAGCAUGCCACACUGCUAAUCAUCCUCAAUUGAAAAAAAAAAUGAAAUUAAAACCAGGGUCUGCUUUUUCAUCACUUGUGCACCACACUAGGAUUUACUGACAAAGAAGACAGAAUGCACAGACAGAGAGAAACAAAUUUCCAGCUAUGUCGACUGUGCUAAGACCUCUUCUUCCCCAAAAAAUUUUAAAGGAUAUUUUAAAUGAUGUGAAGAAGAUAAUGUUUUUAAGUUGAAUUA
Molecule: long non-coding RNA, 1929 nt
Filed under: Cyanistes caeruleus (blue tit)
Lineage: Eukaryota; Metazoa; Chordata; Aves; Passeriformes; Paridae
Description: lncRNA (ENSCCEG00000015937.1)
Source: RNAcentral